GAUGAACGCUGGCGGCGUGCCUAAUACAUGCAAGUCGAGCGAACAGACGAGGAGCUUGCUCCUCUGACGUUAGCGGCGGACGGGUGAGUAACACGUGGAUAACCUACCUAUAAGACUGGGAUAACUUCGGGAAACCGGAGCUAAUACCGGAUAAUAUAUUGAACCGCAUGGUUCAAUAGUGAAAGACGGUUUUGCUGUCACUUAUAGAUGGAUCCGCGCCGCAUUAGCUAGUUGGUAGGGUAACGGCUUACCAAGGCGACGAUGCGUAGCCGACCUGAGAGGGUGGUCGACCACACUGGAACUGAGACACGGUCCAGACUCCUACGGGAGGCAGCAGUAGGGAAUCUUCCGCAAUGGGCGAAAGCCUGACGGAGCAACGCCGCGUGAGUGAUGAAGGUCUUCGGAUCGUAAAACUCUGUUACUAGGGAAGAACAAAUGUGUAAGUAACUAUGCACGUCUUGACGGUACCUAAUCAGAAAGCCACGGCUAACUACGUG
Molecule: ribosomal RNA, 497 nt
Filed under: uncultured bacterium
Lineage: Bacteria
Description: partial 16S ribosomal RNA
Rfam family: Bacterial small subunit ribosomal RNA
Source: RNAcentral